RNAcentral lists this ribosomal RNA (253 nucleotides) under uncultured bacterium. RNAcentral describes it as "partial 16S ribosomal RNA". It matches the Rfam family "Bacterial small subunit ribosomal RNA", at positions 524 to 776 of the family's 1533-position model. The record is from RNAcentral.
UACGUAGGAAGCAAGCGUUGUCCGGAUUUAUUGGGUGUAAAGGGUGCGUAGGCGGGAUGGCAAGUCGGUCGUGAAAUCCUUCGGCCCAACCGAAGAACGUCGGCCGAUACUGCCGUUCUUGAGGGAUGCAGAGGAGACUGGAAUUCCCGGUGUAGCGGUGAAAUGUGUAGAGAUCGGGAGGAACACCGGUGGCGAAGGCGGGUCUCUGGGCAUUUCCUGACGCUGAGGCGCGAAAGCGUGGGGAGCAAACGGG